RNAcentral lists this ribosomal RNA (244 nucleotides) under uncultured bacterium. Its description in RNAcentral is "partial 16S ribosomal RNA". It matches the Rfam family "Bacterial small subunit ribosomal RNA", at positions 28 to 262 of the family's 1533-position model. The record is from RNAcentral.
GACGAACGCUGGCGGCGUGCCUAAUACAUGCAAGUCGAGCGGACAGAAGGGAGCUUGCUCCCGGAUGUUAGCGGCGGACGGGUGAGUAACACGUGGGUAACCUGCCUGUAAGACUGGGAUAACUCCGGGAAACCGGAGCUAAUACCGGAUAGUUCCUUGAACCGCAUGGUUCAAGGAUGAAAGACGGUUUCGGCUGUCACUUACAGAUGGACCCGCGGCGUAUUAGCUAGUUGGUGGGGUAACG